UGACCAGACUGCAACAGCUCUCCCACCAGCAGGAUAUAGGUUUAGAGGUCACAAGUAGCAACGCAUUAAAAUUAAAAACCAAGUGAAGAAUACUUCACAGCUCUGAAACCGAUAUCAGAGAGCUUGUGGGACUUACCAGAGCCACCUGGGUUCUUGUUCCUUAUGCUCGCACCAGUGAAGUAUGACAAUGACACUGCAAACAAGAACUCAUAGUAGGAAGUUAUCUGAGACUUUGGUUUUAAACAAUAUUCCUGGAAGUCAUCUUUUAGAACUACAAGAUAUUCACCACUUUGUGGGCGAUGAUGGUGAGCAUGAGUUGUUGGCUCUCACACUGCCUCUGGAAAAGCAUCCAAGAUUCCCAACAGAAUGCUGUAGUGGGCGUGUGUGAAGAUGAAGAUCUGAAAGUUUCAGAAAUAUGAACAGAAGAAGAGAGCUGAAUGUUGAUGACGGUACAGCUGAAUUUACUCUAAAUAGUAUCAAGAGAAAAAUUACUGCCAGUUUUUCUUCCAAGUGUCCUGCCUUAUUCAGCAGAGUGAUGGCGAUAAUUUUAGGGUAUUA
Long non-coding RNA from Manacus vitellinus (golden-collared manakin), 558 nucleotides. RefSeq lists it as uncharacterized. NCBI's taxonomy places the organism in Eukaryota, Metazoa, Chordata, Aves, Passeriformes, Pipridae. The transcript is spliced from 6 exons. The record is from RefSeq and is a predicted model, not a curated record.